CCUACGGGUGGCAGCAGUGAGGAAUAUUGGUCAAUGGACGGGAGUCUGAACCAGCCAAGCCGCGUGAGGGAUGAAGGUCCAGUGGAUCGUAAACCUCUUUUGUCAGGGAAUAAAACCUGGCACGUGUCCCCUUUUGCGUGUACCUUAUGAAUAAGCAUCGGCUAACUCCGUGCCAGCAGCCGCGGUAAUACGGAGGAUGCGAGCGUUAUCCGGAUUUAUUGGGUUUAAAGGGAGCGCAGGGGGGCUGUUAAGUCAGGUGUGAAAGUUCGGGGCUCAACCGGAACCCAGCAGUUGAAACUGGCAGUCUCGAGUAGGGGAGAGGUAGGCGGAAUGCGCGGUGUAGCGGUGAAAUGCAUAGAUAUCACGAAGAACUCCGAUUGCGAAGGCAGCAUGCUAGACUGUGACUGACGCUGAGGCUCGAAAGCGUGGGUAUCGAACAGGAUUAGAUACCCCGGUAGUC
RNAcentral lists this ribosomal RNA (460 nucleotides) under uncultured bacterium. Its description in RNAcentral is "partial 16S ribosomal RNA". It matches the Rfam family "Bacterial small subunit ribosomal RNA", at positions 338 to 795 of the family's 1533-position model. The record is from RNAcentral.